CGGACGGGUGAGUAACGCGUGAGUAACCUGCCUUACACAAGGGGAUAGCCGUUGGAAACGACGAAUAAUACCCUAUGAAACUAUCACUUCGCAUGAAGCGAUAGUCAAAGUGUUAGCGGUGUAAGAUGGACUUGCGUCUGAUUAGCUAGUUGGUGAGAAAAAGCCCACCAAGGCAACGAUCAGUAGCCGGCUUGAGAGAGUGUACGGCCACAUUGGAACUGAGACACGGUCCAA
This 234-nucleotide ribosomal RNA is filed under the name uncultured Eubacteriales bacterium. RNAcentral's name for it is "uncultured Clostridiales bacterium partial 16S ribosomal RNA". It matches the Rfam family "Bacterial small subunit ribosomal RNA", at positions 99 to 334 of the family's 1533-position model. Lineage: Bacteria; Bacillati; Bacillota; Clostridia; Eubacteriales. The record is from RNAcentral.